AUCCCAUGUCGAGGACACUUCCUCAAAAAUUCAUUGUACCUUUCCCAUGCCUCGUAUAGAGUUUAAGACUCCAUCUGUCAAAAAUAAGAUAAGUUAUUUCUGUGCUU
Molecule: small nucleolar RNA, 107 nt
Organism: Dioscorea cayenensis subsp. rotundata (Guinea yam)
Lineage: Eukaryota; Viridiplantae; Streptophyta; Magnoliopsida; Dioscoreales; Dioscoreaceae
Source: RefSeq, a predicted model, not a curated record